GCCGGUUUAUUUUCGGAGUGAUUGGCUGCGUUACCGAGGAGUCCGAAGUUUGGUAUCCCGGUCCCGUCUGAUCGCCCGAGCGCACUUUGGGUCGUGAGGACACGUCGUCGGUCGGUGCACCGUAGCAGAGUCGGACUUUUGGGUACCCGGCAUCCGUACAGGUCGCGUGGGCGCGACGCCACGCGCGGUCAUCGACCCCCAUCGGCAAGGACGUCGCAAGGACACACGCGAGACCCGAAACCAGUUACCCGGGCGUCUUCCUAUGCGGUAGACAACGUGAGAGUAGAAGUGCAACGAUGUCGUCGCUACGAACUAACGAAGUCGUCUAGAGAUACGGGCGGGCGAACGACUACGUUGAGGAAGACCAGAAGCUGUACACAGUUUACAGUCGGUUGUCUGCCGCGGAUGCGAAACA
This 415-nucleotide unclassified non-coding RNA is filed under the name Athalia rosae (coleseed sawfly). RNAcentral describes it as "misc RNA ENSAEAG00005003813.1". The record is from RNAcentral. Lineage: Eukaryota; Metazoa; Arthropoda; Insecta; Hymenoptera; Athaliidae.